AUUGAACGCUGGCGGCAGGCCUAACACAUGCAAGUCGAGCGGCAGCGGGAAAGUAGCUUGCUACUUUUGCCGGCGAGCGGCGGACGGGUGAGUAAUGCCUGGGGAUCUGCCCAGUCGAGGGGGAUAACUACUGGAAACGGUAGCUAAUACCGCAUACGCCCUACGGGGGAAAGCAGGGGACCUUCGGGCCCUGCGCGAUUGGAUGAACCCAGGUGGGAGUAGCUAGUUGGUGAGGUAAUGGCUCACCAAGGCGACCAUCCCUAGCUGGUCUGGGAGGAUGAUCAGCCACACUGGAACUGAGACACGGUCCAGACUCCUACGGGAGGCAGCAGUGGGGAAUAUUGCACAAUGGGGGAAACCCUGAUGCAGCCAUGCCGCGGGUGUGAAGAAGGCCUUCGGGUUGUAAAGCACUUUCAGCGAGGAGGAAAGGUUGGUAGCUAAUAACUGCCAGCUGUGACGUUACUCGCAGAAGAAGCACCGGCUAACUCCGUGCCAGCAGCCGCAGUAA
Molecule: ribosomal RNA, 508 nt
Filed under: uncultured bacterium
Lineage: Bacteria
Description: partial 16S ribosomal RNA
Rfam family: Bacterial small subunit ribosomal RNA
Source: RNAcentral